UGCAUCCAAAACUAUUUAGCUAGAGUGUGGGAGAGGAAGAUGGAAUUAGUUGUGUAGGGGUAAAAUCCGUAGAGAUAACUAGGAAUACCAAAAGCGAAGGCAAUCUUCUGGAACAUUACUGACGCUGAGGCGCGAAAGCGUGGGGAGCAAACAGGAUUAGAUACCCUGGUAGUCCACGCCCUAAACGAUGAAUGUUAGUCGUCGGGUAGCUAGUCUAUUCGGUGAUGCAGCUAAUGCAUUAAACAUUCCGCCUGGGGAGUACGGUCGCAAGAUUAAAACUCAAAGGAAUAGACGGGGACCCGCACAAGUGGUGGAGCAUGUGGUUUAAUUCGAAGAUACGCGAAGAACCUUACCUAGCCUUGACAUAUUUAAGAAUCCGAUAGAGAUAUUGGAGUGCCUUCGGGAGCUUUCUUACAGGUGCUGCACGGCUGUCGUCAGCUCGUGUCGUGAGAUGUUGGGUUAAGUCCCGCAACGAGCGCAACCCUCGUCACUAGUUACUAACGGUUCGGCCGAGGACUCUAGUGAGACUGCCUUCGUAAGGAGGAGGAAGGUGAGGACGACGUCAAGUCAUCAUGGCCCUUACGGCUAGGGCAACACACGUGCUACAAUGGCCAGGACAGUGAGAAGCGAUACCGCGAGGUGGAGCAAAUCUAUAAACCUGGUCACAGUUCGGAUUGUAGUCUGCAACUCGACUACAUGAAGCUGGAAUCACUAGUAAUCGUAGAUCAGCUAUGCUACGGUGAAUACGUUCCCGGGUCUUGUACUCACCGCCCGUCACACCAUGGGAGUUGAUUUCACCCGAAGCGGGGAAGCUAAACUGGCUACCCUCCACGGUGGAAUUAGCGACUGGGGUGAAGUCGUAACAAGGUAACC
RNAcentral lists this ribosomal RNA (873 nucleotides) under uncultured bacterium. RNAcentral describes it as "bacterial SSU rRNA". It matches the Rfam family "Bacterial small subunit ribosomal RNA", at positions 622 to 1501 of the family's 1533-position model. The record is from RNAcentral.